Marasmius oreades (fairy-ring Marasmius) is the source of this 96-nucleotide non-coding RNA. The record is from the annotation of a RefSeq genome assembly. NCBI's taxonomy places the organism in Eukaryota, Fungi, Basidiomycota, Agaricomycetes, Agaricales, Marasmiaceae.
GCCCGCCUAGCUCAAUCGGAUAGAGCGUCAGACUCUUAUGUCCAGAACGAGCCGCUGUUGAUCUGAAGGCUGCGAGUUCGACCCUCGCGGUGGGCU